GACGAACGCUGGCGGCGUGCUUAACACAUGCAAGUCGAGCGGUAAGGCCCUUUCGGGGGUACACGAGCGGCGAACGGGUGAGUAACACGUGGGUGACCUGCCCUCAGCUCUGGGAUAAGCCUGGGAAACCGGGUCUAAUACCGGAUAUGACUCCAUGACGCAUGUUGUGGGGUGGAAAGCCUUGUGUGGCUAGAGAUGGGCCCGCGGCCUAUCAGCUUGUUGGUGGGGUGAUGGCCUACCAAGGCGACGACGGGUAGCCGGCCUGAGAGGGCGACCGGCCACACUGGGACUGAGACACGGCCCAGACUCCUACGGGAGGCAGCAGUGGGGAAUCUUGCGCAAUGGGCGAAAGCCUGACGCAGCGACGCCGCGUGAGGGAUGACGGCC
This 387-nucleotide ribosomal RNA is filed under the name uncultured bacterium. RNAcentral describes it as "bacterial SSU rRNA". It matches the Rfam family "Bacterial small subunit ribosomal RNA", at positions 28 to 416 of the family's 1533-position model. The record is from RNAcentral.